GACGAACGCUGGCGGCGUGCUUAACACAUGCAAGUCGAACGGAAAGGCCCUGCUUUUGUGGGGUGCUCGAGUGGCGAACGGGUGAGUAACACGUGAGUAACCUGCCCUUGACUUUGGGAUAACUUCAGGAAACUGGGGCUAAUACCGGAUAGGAGCUCCUGCUGCAUGGUGGGGGUUGGAAAGUUUCGGCGGUUGGGGCUGGACUCGCGGCUUAUCAGCUUGUUGGUGGGGUAGUGGCUUACCAAGGCUUUGACGGGUAGCCGGCCUGAGAGGGUGACCGGCCAAAUUGGGACUGAGAUACGGCCCAGACUCCUACGGGAGGCAGCAGUGGGGAAUAUUGCACAAUGGGCGGAAGCCUGAUGCAGCAACGCCGCGUGCGGGAUGACGGCCUUCGGGUUGUAAACCGCUUUCGCCUGUGACGAAGCGUGAGUGACGGUAAUGGGUAAAGAAGCACCGGCUAACUACGUG
This 468-nucleotide ribosomal RNA is filed under the name uncultured bacterium. Its description in RNAcentral is "partial 16S ribosomal RNA". It matches the Rfam family "Bacterial small subunit ribosomal RNA", at positions 28 to 507 of the family's 1533-position model. The record is from RNAcentral.